Molecule: ribosomal RNA, 253 nt
Filed under: uncultured microorganism
Description: partial 16S ribosomal RNA
Rfam family: Bacterial small subunit ribosomal RNA
Source: RNAcentral
UACGGAGGGUGCGAGCGUUAUUCGGAAUUACUGGGCGUAAAGCGCGCGUAGGCGGCAGGGCAAGUCUGGUGUGAAAGCCCGGGGCUCAACCCCGGAAGUGCAUUGGAAACUGCUCUGCUUGAGUACCGGAGAGGAAGGUGGAAUUCCCGGUGUAGCGGUGAAAUGCGUAGAUAUCGGGAGGAAUACCAGUGGCGAAGGCGCCCUUCUGGACGGUUACUGACGCUGAGACGCGAAAGCGUGGGGAGCAAACAGG